AUCCAGACUCCUACGGGAGGCAGCAGUGAGGAAUAUUGGUCAAUGGGCGAGAGCCUGAACCAGCCAAGUCGCGUGAGGGAUGACUGCCCUAUGGGUUGUAAACCUCUUUUGUAUGGGGGGAAUAAGCUUUACGAGUAGAGUGAUGACAGUACCAUACGAAUAAGCAUCGGCUAACUCCGUGCCAGCAGCCGCGGUAAUACGGAGGAUGCGAGCGUUAUCCGGAUUUAUUGGGUUUAAAGGGUGCGUAGGCGGGCUUUUAAGUCAGCGGUAAAAAUUCGGGGCUCAACCCCGUCCGGCCGUUGAAACUGGGGGCCUUGAGUGGGCGAGAAGAAGGCGGAAUGCGUGGUGUAGCGGUGAAAUGCAUAGAUAUCACGCAGAACCCCGAUUGCGAAGGCAGCCUUCCGGCGCCCUACUGACGCUGAGGCACGAAAGUGCGGGGAUCGAACAGGAUUAGAUACCCCAGUA
Molecule: ribosomal RNA, 465 nt
Filed under: uncultured bacterium
Lineage: Bacteria
Description: bacterial SSU rRNA
Rfam family: Bacterial small subunit ribosomal RNA
Source: RNAcentral